This 801-nucleotide ribosomal RNA is filed under the name uncultured Sulfitobacter sp. RNAcentral's name for it is "bacterial SSU rRNA". It matches the Rfam family "Bacterial small subunit ribosomal RNA", at positions 25 to 872 of the family's 1533-position model. The record is from RNAcentral. Lineage: Bacteria; Pseudomonadati; Pseudomonadota; Alphaproteobacteria; Rhodobacterales; Roseobacteraceae.
CAGAACGAACGCUGGCGGCAGGCCUAACACAUGCAAGUCGAGCGCACCCCUUCGGGGGCGAGCGGCGGACGGGUUAGUAACGCGUGGGAACAUACCCUUUACUACGGAAUAGCCUCGGGAAACUGAGAGUAAUACCGUAUGUGCCCUUCGGGGGAAAGAUUUAUCGGUAAAGGAUUGGCCCGCGUUAGAUUAGAUAGUUGGUGGGGUAAUGGCCUACCAAGUCUACGAUCUAUAGCUGGUUUUAGAGGAUGAUCAGCAACACUGGGACUGAGACACGGCCCAGACUCCUACGGGAGGCAGCAGUGGGGAAUCUUAGACAAUGGGCGCAAGCCUGAUCUAGCCAUGCCGCGUGUGUGAUGAAGGCCUUAGGGUCGUAAAGCACUUUCGCCAGAGAUGAUAAUGACAGUAUCUGGUAAAGAAACCCCGGCUAACUCCGUGCCAGCAGCCGCGGUAAUACGGAGGGGGUUAGCGUUGUUCGGAAUUACUGGGCGUAAAGCGUACGUAGGCGGAUCAGAAAGUAUGGGGUGAAAUCCCAGGGCUCAACCCUGGAACUGCCUCAUAAACUCCUGGUCUUGAGUUCGAGAGAGGUGAGUGGAAUUCCAAGUGUAGAGGUGAAAUUCGUAGAUAUUUGGAGGAACACCAGUGGCGAAGGCGGCUCACUGGCUCGAUACUGACGCUGAGGUACGAAAGUGUGGGGAGCAAACAGGAUUAGAUACCCUGGUAGUCCACACCGUAAACGAUGAAUGCCAGUCGUCGGGCAGUAUACUGUUCGGUGACACACCUAACGGAUUAAGCAUCCGC